RNAcentral lists this transfer RNA (65 nucleotides) under Dipodomys ordii (Ord's kangaroo rat). It matches the Rfam family "tRNA". Rfam says of the family: Transfer RNA (tRNA) molecules are approximately 80 nucleotides in length. Their secondary structure includes four short double-helical elements and three loops (D, anti-codon, and T loops). The record is from Rfam by way of RNAcentral. Lineage: Eukaryota; Metazoa; Chordata; Mammalia; Rodentia; Heteromyidae.
GGUGGCUCAGUGGUAGAGUGCUUGCCUUGCAUGCAUGAAGGCCUGGGUUCGAUUCCUCAGCACCA